Long non-coding RNA from Haliotis rubra (blacklip abalone), 513 nucleotides. RefSeq lists it as uncharacterized. The transcript has 4 exons. NCBI's taxonomy places the organism in Eukaryota, Metazoa, Mollusca, Gastropoda, Lepetellida, Haliotidae. The record is from RefSeq and is a predicted model, not a curated record.
CUUCACUGCAGUUGUUCCAGGGAGCCCGAGUGUCACACAGCAACUGGAGAGACUCUGAUCCGUGAAGAUGAACAUUCUGAGUUGUCUCCUCUUGACGUGUCUGUGGUGCGUCGUCACGUCGUACUCACGAUAUUGCCUCAUAUCGGGGAUGAGAGUGAAAGUUAACGGUAACCAAUGCGACGUGAUGAACCGUGGGAUCGGACAUCAGAUGACGUAUGAGGCCAAGGACUGCGGGGUGACGCUCACGUGUAUUGACGGUGGAAUCAACGCGUGUAUUUCACAGACAUUGAUGUGUACGGUUAUCACACUUGACUGCAAUACACUGGUGAGAGAGACUACUUCCAUAGUGGAUCGACUACUAUGCAAGGAUUGAGCGGCCAAGACAGAUAGACAUGAGGCACCCAGCUGGUUGCAAGGAUUGAGCGCCAAGUCUUCAGAUAGACAUGAGGCACCCAGCUGGUUGGUCCUGUGGUCAUGAUGCUGAUACUUCAAAUAAACUUACGUUUAUGGCGA